GACGAACGCUGGCGGCGUGCCUAAUACAUGCAAGUCGAACGAGAGCGACCGGUGCUUGCACUGGUCAAUCUAGUGGCGAACGGGUGAGUAACACGUGGGUAACCUGCCCAUCAGAGGGGGAUAACAUCCGGAAACGGAUGCUAAAACCGCAUAGGUCUUCGAACCGCAUGGUUUGAAGAGGAAAAGAGGCGCAAGCUUCUGCUGAUGGAUGGACCCGCGGUGCAUUAGCUAGUUGGUGAGGUAACGGCUCACCAAGGCCGUGAUGCAUAGCCGACCUGAGAGGGUGAUCGGCCACAUUGGGACUGAGACACGGCCCAAACUCCUACGGGAGGCAGCAGUAGGGAAUCUUCCGCAAAGGACGCAAGUCUGACGGAGCAACGCCGCGUGAGUGAAGAAGGUUUUCGGAUCGUAAAACUCUGUUGUUAGAGAAGAACAAGUGCUAGAGUAACUGUUAGCGCCUUGACGGUAGCUAACCAGAAAGCCACGGCUAACUACGUG
This 498-nucleotide ribosomal RNA is filed under the name uncultured bacterium. RNAcentral's name for it is "partial 16S ribosomal RNA". It matches the Rfam family "Bacterial small subunit ribosomal RNA", at positions 28 to 507 of the family's 1533-position model. The record is from RNAcentral.